CCUACGGGGGGCAGCAGUGAGGAAUAUUGGUCAAUGGACGAGAGUCUGAACCAGCCAAGUAGCGUGAAGGAUGACUGCCCUAUGGGUUGUAAACUUCUUUUAUAUGGGAAUAAAAUGUUCUACGUGUGGGAUUUUGUAUGUACCAUAUGAAUAAGGAUCGGCUAACUCUGUGCAAGCAGCCGCGGUAAUACGGAGGAUCCGAGAGUUAUCCGGAUUUAUUGGGUGUACAGGGAGCGUAGGUGGAUUGUUAAGUUAGUGGUGAAAGUUUGCGGCUCAACCUCUUCGAGCCGUUGAAACUGGUUGUCUUGAGUGAGCGAGAGGUAUGCGGAAUGCGUGGUGUAGCGGUGAAAUGCAUAGAUAUCACGCAGAACUCCGGUUGCGAAGGCAGCAUACCGGCGCUCAACUGACGCUCAGGCACGAAAGUGUGGGUAUCGAACAGGAUUAGAUACCCCGGUAGUC
Molecule: ribosomal RNA, 459 nt
Filed under: uncultured bacterium
Lineage: Bacteria
Description: partial 16S ribosomal RNA
Rfam family: Bacterial small subunit ribosomal RNA
Source: RNAcentral